Molecule: long non-coding RNA, 447 nt
Filed under: Prunus persica (peach)
Lineage: Eukaryota; Viridiplantae; Streptophyta; Magnoliopsida; Rosales; Rosaceae
Description: long non-coding RNA (PPER_LNC000218)
Source: RNAcentral
UAGAGCUGCUCAUGGGAGUUGUGGGAUCACUGCAGUCUCCUCCUCUAUCUGAUUUGAAUGAGGCAGGCGAAUCAAGUUCCUUUUCUUUAUGGAUCAGCUCAGCACAUCCUAACUGAGGCUGGUAAGAUUUUGAUCUCUUCUUGUUCUUGCUGCUUCCAAUGCUUAAUGUCAGCUCCACUUCACUAUCUUCAUCACAGUCAGCUAUACUCAUAUUUUUACUUUUGAAGGCCAUGUGAGAGCUUGGCCCUGCUUGUUCUUGGUCAAUUGUACUGACUCCUGUUGACAUGUCUUCCUCGGCAGGCCUUUCAAGGUCAAAUCCCCUUGACAUUCUCAGGGUGUCUCCGGAGCAACUUCCACUGCCCUCUCUAGAGAUCGGAUCAUCUCUCAACCUCUGAAGAUGGAAAUUAUAUCCAGAAGAAGCUUGAGUUGUUGAAUUCUGCCAGUUAA